GCGCCGGUGCGGGCCGGGAGGCUCGCGUUCCCCGCGCGGUGGAGAUGCCCAGCGGCGGGGGGCGGCCCGAGGACGGCGCGGGGCUGCGCUCUGCGGACGCCUCGGCGCUGCGCAAGGACGACCUCGGCAGUAGGAUUAAAGAACAAAAAGUUGUCGUGGAUGAACUUUCUAACCUGAAGAAGAACAGGAAAGUAUAUAGGCAGCAACAGAACAGCAACAUAUUCUUUCUUGCAGACCGAACAGAAAUGCUUUCUGAAAGCAAAAUUAUACUGGAUGAACUGAAAAAAGAAUACCAAGAAUUAGAAAACUCUGAGAAGACCAAAAUCAAGAAAGAGUCAACUUGAU
Long non-coding RNA from Enhydra lutris kenyoni (northern sea otter), 345 nucleotides. RefSeq lists it as uncharacterized. NCBI's taxonomy places the organism in Eukaryota, Metazoa, Chordata, Mammalia, Carnivora, Mustelidae. The record is from RefSeq and is a predicted model, not a curated record. The transcript has 4 exons.